GGGAAAGCGCUGGCGACAGCGCUCAGCUGCCGGAGAAGAGGAAAAGCGACGAGAAGGAAGACAAAAAGAGAUCCCUACUGAAAUCCUCUGCAGCUCAUUGACAAUGGUGCCUUCAAGUCAGUCUUGACUCCUGGUGACUGUCUGGAC
Python bivittatus (Burmese python) is the source of this 147-nucleotide long non-coding RNA. RefSeq lists it as uncharacterized. The record is from RefSeq and is a predicted model, not a curated record. Lineage: Eukaryota; Metazoa; Chordata; Lepidosauria; Squamata; Pythonidae.